RNAcentral lists this transfer RNA (67 nucleotides) under Marmota monax (woodchuck). Its description in RNAcentral is "tRNA.Ala". Lineage: Eukaryota; Metazoa; Chordata; Mammalia; Rodentia; Sciuridae. The record is from RNAcentral.
UGCAGGCUAGUGGUCAAGCACCUGCUUGGCAUGCUUAAGGCUCUGGGUUCAAUUCCCAGCACUGCAA